AGAGUUUGAUCAUGGCUCAGGACGAACGCUGGCGGCGUGCUUAACACAUGCAAGUCGAACGGUUCUCGAAGUUCGAGGUUGGAGGUUCGAAGUUCGAAUAGAAAGAAUUCGCGAAGCGAAUUCAAACAAGCAAUCGAACCUCGAAUUUCGAACCUCGAACUUCGAGGAUAGUGGCGGACGGGUGAGUAACGCGUGGAUAACCUGCCUGUUGGGCCGGGACAACACCGGGAAACUGGUGCUAAUACCGGAUACGCUCAUAUAGACACAUGUAGAUAUGAGGAAAGGGGAAACCCGCUGACAGAUGGGUCCGCGUCCCAUUAGCUAGUUGGCGGUGUAAGAGACCACCAAGGCGACGAUGGGUAGCCGGCCUGAGAGGGUGGACGGCCACACUGGAACUGAGACACGGUCCAGACUCCUACGGGAGGCAGCAGUGGGGAAUCUUCCGCAAUGGGCGCAAGCCUGACGGAGCAACGCCGCGUGAGUGAAGAAGGCUUUCGGGUCGUAAAACUCUGUCUUCAGGGAAGAAGGAAGUGACGGUACCUGAGGAGGAAGCCCCGGCUAACUACGUGCCAGCAGCCGCGGUAAAACGUAGGGGGCGAGCGUUGUCCGGAAUUACUGGGCGUAAAGGGCGCGUAGGCGGUUUCUUAAGUCAGAGGUGAAAACUACCGGCUUAACCGGUAGCCUGCCUUUGAAACUGAGGAACUUGAGGGCAGGAGAGGGGAGUGGAAUUCCCAGUGUAGCGGUGAAAUGCGUAGAUAUUGGGAGGAACACCAGUGGCGAAGGCGGCUCUCUGGCCUAACCCUGACGCUGAGGCGCGAAAGCGUGGGGAGCAGACGGGAUUAGAUACCCCGGUAGUCCACGCCGUAAACGAUGGGUGCUAGGUGUAGGAGGUAUCGACCCCUUCUGUGCCGUAGUUAACACAAUAAGCACCCCGCCUGGGGAGUACGCCGCAAGGUUGAAACUCAAAUGAAUUGACGG
RNAcentral lists this ribosomal RNA (978 nucleotides) under uncultured bacterium. RNAcentral describes it as "bacterial SSU rRNA". It matches the Rfam family "Bacterial small subunit ribosomal RNA", at positions 8 to 916 of the family's 1533-position model. The record is from RNAcentral.